UUUCAGUGUCUCAUCGUUCCAUGGUACCUGGUGAGUGAGCUAAAGGAAAUCCUCAUCAUAGAAUUCAAUUGGGCAGCCAUCUUGCAUUAUGGAGAGAAUCAGCGAGGCUGGAUCAAAGGAAAUGGAGCUCACAUCAGCUCACAUAUCACAACAACCAGAGUGGAUGAGGAAUGAAACAGUCCAAACAGGAGCUGAAGUGACAAUAAUGGAGGAGACAAGAAUCAGGAACACAGAUGAAAGGUUUACAAGAAGACGAUACAGUUAAGUCAAUGCAGGUCGCGGUGGAGAUGAGGAACAUCUGAUUCAUAUUAGGAGGUGGAGAUAUAGGUUCC
Molecule: non-coding RNA, 332 nt
Organism: Pimephales promelas (fathead minnow)
Lineage: Eukaryota; Metazoa; Chordata; Actinopteri; Cypriniformes; Leuciscidae
Source: RefSeq, a predicted model, not a curated record